UUGAUGGCUAUUUUAUACGGUAGGGUGGGGGAACUAUUGGGUUAUAAUGAUCUCGUCUCUCUUUUCUCACAUCUGACAAAAGAGAGAAGAGCACAAAAAACCUUGAAUUUUCUUCUUCUUUUUUAUUUAUUUAUAUCUAGCUUUUCUUACAACCCAACAGCAAUGAUGAAGUCCGCUUUCUCUCCAUCUUCUCCAUCGCCAUCAUUGUUCCCACACCACCUCACCUGCCUUUAUGAUCAUUACCUUCUACACAUUCUUCAAAGCUCGUCAUCAUUUCAUCAACCCAAAAAGAAGAAGAAGAAGAAGAAGAAGAAAGAAAGAAUAAAUCAGAAGGAGCGAAAGUGAUGUUUUCAAGUGGGGGAUUGAGAAGAAACUUAUAGCAAAAAGAAAGGACCUUUCAAGUUUCAAGCUCUAGGCUUUUUCUUCUUUUCAUCUUUGUUUCUUCCUUGGUUUUGAGUGAAUGGGUCUUUUCUUUUUUUCUCCUGUUUCUUCUAGAUUUUCCCAGUCUUCUUUUUUUUUGGGAGGUGGGCGGGGGAAUCAAGCAUCUUGGUCCGAAACUAUUUGCUUCCAUCAGAGCAAAAUCAGUACUUGCUAGCUUUUUUUGGUUUUGUAUGGUUUUAUUGUUAGGUUAUUGAAAAGCUUGUUUGUGUUCACUAUGUUCUGUAAGAGAUCUCUUUCUUCUCUUGAUCCUAUUUCCAUAUAUGAUCUUCUCUUUCACAUACACUUUCUGCAAUUCCUCCAAGCUGAUCUAAAGUUUCAUCAGCCAUAUAUUUAUGUGUAUGAUUUUUGUAUGCCUUUUUAUCAACAGAUCUACCAUGUCUAUCAUAAAUGAAACCGUAGUAUUUUGUUUGUUUUAGGGUUUUUUUUUUACAGUUGAAGCCUGUCUCCUUCCAAAAGUUUUCCCACAGAACAUCAUGAUUCCUGAGCUUGCUAUAAAUAAUAAUUGGACAAAAACAAUAUGCUAUCAGAUGAGUCUUCCUUUUAAACAAUAUUUCAUUUUCUUUCUGUCUCCAAAGUAAAACACAUAUAGGAGAAGAAGUACUCUUGGAUAAUAUAUACAUAUAUAAAGCAAUCUUUUGGUAUUAGCUUCUUAUUUCUUCUUAUUUCAUCUUUGGUUUUUGAGGAUCCAGAUGAAUAAUCUAUAUAUAUAUAUAUAUAUAUAUUCUUAUCCAAGUAGAAACCUAGGACUUCGAUUGAGCUUAUUGGAAGGCAACAAAAACACUUGGCAAAAUGUCCCUGCAUUUGUUAAAUAAGAUUUCUUUUAAUUUAAGUAAGCUUUUGUUACUACUAUGGGAGCUAGUUUCCUUCAGCUAUACAUACAUACAUAGCGUUCUUUGAGUUGAUUAUGUAGGAUGAUUUAUUUUUAUCCCUUGUAUGUUUUUUGAUCUCUUCUCCAUCAAAGAGGGUGUAAAGUAGAUGAAGAGAAAGCUAGAUCCCUAAAGCAGUAUAAUGGGGUGGCUAAUCAUACUUUUGAAGAGAGAGCAGUGGAGAGAGGCCAUGCAUGUAUGUUCUUCCUUUAUAUUCUUUGUAAGAUAAAUAUGAAAGAAGAGUGGGACCAAUAUAAAACAGAAGGGCAUGGGCUUGGGCCGAGCAUGAGAAAAAGGAUGAUUAAAAGGUGAAUAAUCGCAGUGUGGCAAGUAGCUAUAGAUUGUGACAUAUCAGUUCACUACUUCAACCAUAUUCCUUCUUUUUUAUUCUUAACUUUAGUUCAAUGGUGGCAAUCGACAACUUCAAAACAUUGAAUGAAAAGGAAUGUAAAACGUAUCAAAAUAAGUGCAUAUGUAUCUGUCAAGAUCCGUUUUAUGCGUCUAUUCUAUUCUAGAGUUAUGUUACUCUGAUACCCAAUACAAUACAUGUAAGUUUUUUUGAAAUUAUAUCCAUUUAAACUGAAUUUUCCUAUGGAA
Gossypium raimondii (Peruvian cotton) is the source of this 1904-nucleotide long non-coding RNA. RefSeq lists it as uncharacterized. The record is from RefSeq and is a predicted model, not a curated record. Lineage: Eukaryota; Viridiplantae; Streptophyta; Magnoliopsida; Malvales; Malvaceae. The transcript is spliced from 2 exons.